CCUACGGGAGGCUGCAGUGGGGAAUAUUGCACAAUGGGCGCAAGCCUGAUGCAGCCAUGCCGCGUGUGUGAAGAAGGCCUUCGGGUUGUAAAGCACUUUCAGCGGGGAGGAAGGCGUUAGGUUAAUAACCUUGUCGAUUGACGUUACCCGCAGAAGAAGCACCGGCUAACUCCGUGCCAGCAGCCGCGGUAAUACGGAGGGUGCAAGCGUUAAUCGGAAUUACUGGGCGUAAAGCGCACGCAGGCGGUCUGUCAAGUCGGAUGUGAAAUCCCCGGGCUCAACCUGGGAACUGCAUUCGAAACUGGCAGGCUAGAGUCUUGUAGAGGGGGGUAGAAUUCCAGGUGUAGCGGUGAAAUGCGUAGAGAUCUGGAGGAAUACCGGUGGCGAAGGCGGCCCCCUGGACAAAGACUGACGCUCAGGUGCGAAAGCGUGGGGAGCAAACAGGAUUAGAUACCCCGGUAGUC
Molecule: ribosomal RNA, 464 nt
Filed under: uncultured Klebsiella sp.
Lineage: Bacteria; Pseudomonadati; Pseudomonadota; Gammaproteobacteria; Enterobacterales; Enterobacteriaceae
Description: bacterial SSU rRNA
Rfam family: Bacterial small subunit ribosomal RNA
Source: RNAcentral